ACGCUGGCGGCAAGCCUAACACAUGCAAGUCGAGCGGUAGAGAGUAGCUUGCUACUUUUGAGAGCGGCGGACGGGUGAGUAACGCGUGGGAAUCUACCUGGUAGUGGGGGAUAACGUUCGGAAACGGACGCUAAUACCGCAUACGCCCUACGGGGGAAAGGAGGGGCUCUUCGGACCUUUCGCUAUCAGAUGAGCCUGCGUAUGAUUAGCUAUUUGGUAGGGUAAAGGCCUACCAAGGCGACUAUCCUUAACUGGUCUGAGAGGAUGAUCAGCCACACUGGGACUGAGACACGGCCCAGACUCCUACGGGAGGCACCAGUGGGGAAUAUUGGACAAUGGGGGCAACCCUGAUCCAACCAUGCCGCGUGUGUGAAAAAGCCUUCGGGUUGUAAAGCACUUUCACUGGUGAGGAAGGGUGUCAAGUUCAUACCUUUACACAUCGACGUUAGCCACAGAAGAAGCACCGGCUGACUCCGUGCCAUCAUCCGCGGUAAUACGGAGGGUGCAAGCGUUAAUCAUGAAUUACUGGGCGUAUAGCGCGCGUAAGUGGUACAGUCAAUCAGAUGUGAAAUCCCCGGGCUCAACCUGGGAAUUGCGCCUGAUACUGCUGAUCUACAGUACUGUAGAGGGGAGUGGAAUCUCUACUGUAGCGGUGAUAUGAGUAGAUAUCACAACGAACACCAUUGGCUUAAGGCGACUCCCUGGACUGAUACUUACACUGACGUGCCCAAAGCGUGGGGAGCGAACAGGAUUACAUACCCUGGUAGUCCACGCUGUACACGAUGUCAACUAACCGUUGGGACACUAGCUGUCUUAGUGGCGAACUAACGCGAUAAGUUGACCGCCUGGGGAGUACGGUCGCAAGAUUAAAACUCAAAUGAAUUGACGGGGGCCCGCACAAGCGGUGGAGCAUGUGGUUUAAUUCGACGCAACGCGAAGAACCUUACCUACUCUUGACAUCCACGGAAAACUGCAGAGAUGCGGUUGUGCCUUCGGGAACCGUGAGACACGUGCUGCAUGGCUGUCGUCAGCUCGUGUUGUGAAAUGUUGGGUUGAGUCCCGUAACGAGCGCAACCCUUGUCCUUACUUGCCAGCGGGUAAUGCCGGGAACUUUAAGGAGACUGCCGGUGACAAACCGGAGGAAAGUGGGGACGACGUCAAGUCAUCAUGGCCCUUACGAGUAGGGCUACACACGUGCUACAAUGGCCGGUACAGAGGGCCGCAAUACCGCGAGGUGGAGCAAAUCUCAGAAAACCGGUCGUAGUCCGGAUCGCAGUCUGCAACUCGACUGCGUGAAGUCGGAAUCGCUAGUAAUCGCGAAUCAGAAUGUCACGGUGAAUACGUUCCCGGGCCUUGUACACACCGCCCGUCACACCAUGGGAGUGGGUUGCACCAGAAGUAACUAGUCUAACCUUAGGGAGGACGGUUACCACAGUGUGAUUCAUGACUGGGGUGAACUCGUAACAACGUACGGGUAA
This 1478-nucleotide ribosomal RNA is filed under the name Oceanospirillum sp. ML-165. RNAcentral describes it as "bacterial SSU rRNA". It matches the Rfam family "Bacterial small subunit ribosomal RNA". The record is from RNAcentral. Lineage: Bacteria; Pseudomonadati; Pseudomonadota; Gammaproteobacteria; Oceanospirillales; Oceanospirillaceae.